This 673-nucleotide ribosomal RNA is filed under the name uncultured Pezizales. Its description in RNAcentral is "eukaryotic LSU rRNA". It matches the Rfam family "Eukaryotic large subunit ribosomal RNA", at positions 1 to 680 of the family's 3401-position model. Lineage: Eukaryota; Fungi; Ascomycota; Pezizomycetes; Pezizales. The record is from RNAcentral.
AUGACCUCAAAUCAGGUAGGGAUACCCGCUGAACUUAAGCAUAUCAAUAAGCGGAGGAAAAGAAACCAACAGGGAUUGCCUUAGUAACGGCGAGUGAAGCGGCAAAAGCUCAGAUUUGAAAUCUGGUGUCAAAUUGAUACCCGAGUUGUAAUCUGUAGAGGAGUUUUUCGGAGUAUGGCUUUGGUUAAAGUUCCUUGGAAAAGGGCAUCAUAGAGGGUGAGAAUCCUGUUUAUGACCUGUGUCUGUCUCCAUUAUGAAUCUCCUUCAAUGAGUCGAGUUGUUUGGGAAUGCAGCUCUAAAUGGGUGGUAAAUUCCAUCUAAAGCUAAAUAUUGGCAAGAGACCGAUAGCGCACAAGUAGAGUGAUCGAAAGAUGAAAAGAACUCUGAACAGAGAGUUAAAGAGUACGUGAAAUUGUUGAAAGGGAAGCACUUGUGACCAGACAAAUUUACAGUUAAUCAGCCAUCAAUUUUUGGUGGUGCACUUAAUUGUAGGUGGGUCAGCAUCAGUUAUAGUAGUGGAACAAAGAUCAAAGGAAUGUAGCUCCUCUUUGAGGAGUGUUAUAGCCUUUGGUUCAAUACCGCUUGCCAUGACUGAGGAUAGCACUUCCAGUAAGGAUGCUGACAUAAUGGUCAUAACUGACCCGUCUUGAAACACGGACCAAGGAGUCUAACA